GAGCGCGACAACGGCGACGGCGCGAAACAGUAAUGAAAAGUUUAGCAUAAAUUGAAAAAGCAAAUUAAUUAAGACACGCAGGUUUAAGAACUUAGCAAGAAAAUUGUCCCGAUUCAGUUGGAAACCUCUCAAUAUAUUAUUAACUCUAUAAAGGGUGUGCGGUAGCGCGAUUAAAAGACGGGACAACAGAAGACGCACAAGGAGCUGUGUGUGUCAUAAUGUUUCUCAUUAGUGACAAGCUCUAUGAGGCUGGUCGUCCAACGGUCCAACUGACUCAGCACGAUGGAAAGCGAUUGUCUCUGAACACUGUACUGCGGGCACUGGCAUAGAACAUGACUAAAGGCGAACAUGGCGAGGCUGUGAAGCGCUCAUUGUGUUUAGAAAACACUUUGAACAAAGGUCUCCGUAUUAAAAAGCAGGUGACGGUGCUUUCAAAAAAGCGUCGCGCAAUUUUCCACGUGUUGCACAGAAUCGGAUGCUGCUCUACCUAUCGAUGGCACUAAAAUGCGACCUGCGGCAUAGAACAUUCGGUGUACACUCGCCUCAGCUGUCUGCAUGUUGACUGUACAACCUGGCGUCUGUGAGCAUUAAGCGCUUUUGACAGAGUAUUCAACCUCGUUUUGAAUGACUCUUAAUAUCACUUUGCGGUGAUGAGAAAUGCCUGAACUACGAAGCCCUGAUGUGUGCAACUAAUGCAGAUUCACUUUACCCCAGCUGUGUCAUGCGUUGUGGUCAAUUUCAAUACCUUCAUGUUUCAUUUUUUGUUUUCUUUUCUUGCUAGCGAGUGCUUGUUCUCUUCUUUCGAAUGAAACGGGUCAAUAUAUGUUCGUGUUGCUUCACUGUAGUUGCCUCUGCUUCGAAAAUGAUUUCAAUGCAGCAAGUGGUUUACAAGAAUUACUUAAUGCCAUGCUUUGUAUUUGUUUUCGAACUGUAAAUAUUGUGUCAGCGUACUCUUCUAACUAAUUAAAAAGUGCUGCAUUCGCUAUUCAGACUUUGGGCACUACAACAAGCGAUACAACAUGUGGUUUAAUUUUCUAUUGGAUUGGCAGGGUGAUACUAGUAAAAAUGGUGGCAACACUAAAAAAUAACAUAAAAUAUAAAAGCAAUAUGCUCUUGAUUGACCAGGUAGGCAAAUUUUCAGCUAUGGCAUCUUCCAAUAUCUCACUCGCUGCUUCUGUGAAAUCAUUGAUAUGCUCUGCUUGUUGAACAAUGGAACAUGUGAAAUCCAUGCUACGCUGACAGUGGUAAGACGCAAGCAUAAAAGCAAUCAAUCCUUAAUUAUUGCUGGAGUCCUAUAUGUGCUAGUUUUUCUCAAGGUCAUCGUGCUGGUUUGCAAGCUGUACAGUUGCUGGCUUCUCAUGUAGCCGCACCUGUACAAACGAUGCAUUGCUCCCUCAACCUACUAUCAAAAUACAUGCCAUGUAAAUGAGGCAAGUGUGUGCAUAAAGAAUGUUCAUUCAUGGGCCAACAAAUGAAGCCAUUAGCGGCCGGGGUGUUGUAAUAAAAGCAGCAUCUUGGCGAUGAGCUCCACUUCAUAGGCAAGCUUGUUGAUGCUCAUCCAUGGCAAACAAUUGGCGCGUAAGGAGACAAUGUUGUCCCAGACAGCCGUGAAAUGCAUUGCGAUUUCCUUGCGCACACUGACACCGUAGAAGUAACUAUCUGGGACAGCAGAAGCGGCAGAUCGCACGCACACACUUCAGUCAUGCCUGCAGUGGAAGCAGGCGUCUCCAGCACGAGGCCCGCCUGCGGUUUCAACGGCCGCCGCUACGCGGCUUUCGGUGGCGCCCCUGUAGGCACUGCUCGUGGCGUAUAUCAUGCAUUGUUUCAGUUUUGACAAAGCGUUACCAGGUGGACCGCCAUAUGUUUGGCAGCAGCAUAGGCCACAAGGAAAAUGUCAUGACAUUUGACAUUCUUAACUCUGGCGGAGAAACGCACGUUGCCAAUCUGUUAAGACCUGGUCCAGUGUACUGAUCAAGCUGUGCGAGAUGGUGCCACCUUCAUGAAAGCAGUGUCUUGCUAGCUGUGCUGCUUACAGCAGCGCAGUGCUAGCUGCUGUAAGAAAAUUAUUAAGAAAUAUGUGCUGAUCCCAAAGGCUGUCUAACACAGUGUCUCAAAGCAUUAGCUGCCACGAAUGAAUAAUACGAGAAACUGGGACAUCUGCAUAUAACCUCUUAAUGCAGCUCUAAAAAUUUCAACCUUUGUACUGUUUUCUCUGGCUUUUAUCGCUACGUUGAAGAACAAGUGAUUAUGAGAUUAAGAAGUUUGCAGGGACGACAUGGCCACAAUUAGUACAUGACCGGGGUUGUUGGAGAAGUAUGGGAGAAGCCUUUGCCCCGCAGUGGGCGUAACCAGGCUGAUGAUGAUGAUGACGAUGAAGAACAAGGCUUUAAUGAGUCGUGCUGCAUGUAUUUCCCAAAAUCAGUACGUUGGGAAUUUGGCUCUCCUUCAACCAAUGCUGUAAAUUUAUGCAUAUUCUACAGUCGCUUUAAAAAUGCUUGCUUUCUUUUUCUCCAUGGCACUCUUUCUAUUAAGGAAACCUAAGUUCCAUCUUGCUCAAGUGCUGAUGGAAAACAAAGAAGUGUGUAUUGAGGCAGGGAUGCAUGUUGUGCAUAAAACACGUGAAAACCAUGUGAACAAGAAGAAUGGAAACCGAGGGCCUGAUUUUUAUUAGUCUUAUCAUAAGAAGCCAACAAACAAGGACACCCAGGACAGCAUAGUGGAAAUUACUUGUACUUGUUAAUUAAUGAAUUUAAAUGAUAAAAGAAAUGAAAGUGGAUGAGAAAACAACUGGCCGCAGGUGGGGCAUGAACCCACAUCUUUGCAUUGUGUAUGCAAUGCUCUUAGCAAUUGAGCUACCGCGGUGCUGUUUUCCCAUCCACUUUAUGGGGCAUUUUAUGUUUAUCUACUAGCAUUAAACCUGGGAGUGUUAGCCAGCACCAUACUUCACGGCCUUCCUUGACAGCAAAUGUGGAACGUCCCUUUUUGUCAUUGGUGUCAUGUGUACGUAAUCUUUUUGGGUGAACGCAACUGGUUAGUAAACCCACACAUGCUACCUGAAGUCUUCAAUGCUGCCGGAUUCGAGGCUUCGGUAUGUAAUGAAUGAGAAGAAAGGAAACCAAGGGCCCAAUUUUUAUUAGUCAUGUCAUAAUAAGCCAACAAACAAAGACACCAAGGACAGCAUAGGAGAAAUUAGAUGUACUUAUUAAUUGAAUUUAAAAAAUGAUAAAUUAAUGGAAAUGAGCAUGGAUGAAAAAACAGCUGGCUGCAGAUGGGGCACGAACCCAUGUCUUCCCAUUACGUGUUCUUACAGUCAAGUUGUUUGCACCUUUGCUGCAUGUCUUUUACAAGUGGACAGUGCUGUUAGUGCUGGCGUCCCCAGUUGGAACUAGUUUAAUGAGCCACUUCUUCAUUACCAGGAUGUUUUCCAUGGAUUAUGACUUUGCUGCUACAAGAAAAACAAUCUUGGGACUACCUAUUCAAAAACUUGGCCUGGACUUAAUGGGUAGAUACCUCUUAUUAUUUAAUUCGAGGCAUCUACUCUGGGAUUUAGCCACAGGGAUGUUAGCUCUGUCGUCCACGAAUUUAUUGAGAUUGUCUAUCCAGAUGCCCAGUUAAAUAUUUAUAUCUUUCGCUUUUGUUGUAGUUUUCAAUUAUCAAAAAUUAUUACUGCUUUUAUUGUUUUCAUUCCAACACGUAAUUCUGCCUUUCAACAGCACUUGCUCUAUAUAUGUCCUCAACAUUUAUUCCUAGUUGAUUGUAACUUGGAAUAAUCCACCACUUUGGAGCAGUGUCAUUUACCUGGUUGAGCGCACUUCAUUUAAAAGAUCUCUGAAAAACUCAAUCGAAGUCUUCACAUUCUCGCUCUCAGAGACACCUGCCACUGAGGCACCUUAGAUUUCUUCUUGGUGUAGUAUCUCUUUGUCCAAUUCAUACCAUCUUUUGUUAUCCUGAGUGCUCGUGGCACAUAUCUACAGUGGAGGGUUGGUUAUUUCUGAAAGGAUACGUUUGGAAUUGCUGUAAUUUUCAUCUCCCUCAACCCUGCUGUUCAUGCCCAUUAUUGGAGAUUAUGUACCUUAAAUUCAUUGUCAUCUUCAUCACUGGGACAGUUGUGAUCACUCUCAGCUUUCAGUGGAAGACAUGUCGUCAGCUGUAGUGAUGCGUAGAAAGAAUGUGCAUCCCAUUGAAAUGGGCACGACACCGUGCAAUUAGUUCAAACUAAUUGCACGGUGUCAUGCUCAGCUUUGUGUCUGUGCUCACAAGUCAACAAUGCGCACGAGCGUCAUGCACAGCCACACACGCAGUGUUGCCUCGCAGAAGUAGAAUCCAUAAAACAGAGGAUCCAAAUCACCACCAACAUCAUCAAAAUGGAUCUCAAUGGUCUGCCUGGUCUCAUCAUUCAACCAGCACUGCUUAUACCACGUCCUCGUUCUAUUUGUCUACUCCUCGCGUGUUCCAAUUCCACCUUACCACGGGUGUACACAAGAAGGCGAAGUGCUCGAUGUCACGACUUUAUGACACGGUGGAAAUCCAAGCAUUCUGCUGCUAAACUCGCAUUCAGAUAGAUUUAAAAUGGAAGGGAUUAAUGUUGAAGUGUGCGAGAACAAAACAUAAUUUUAUUUUGCGGUCAGUCUCAUCUCCUAUCAACAACAGAAAAGCAUGAAGUUGCUUGUGUUCAACUCCAGUCGCCUCAGUGCAUGGUCGUUUCUGGUGCAGUUUAUUUGCUGGAAAUGACCAUCUAAAGUUGCGAUAGAAAUUGCUGUUUAUGGAGGACAGAGAGAAAGCGAAACUAGCUCAGAAUUUAUGCAAGUAAGUUUGCAAUGCAGAAUCAUGGAUGUGAAAAAGACUAGUAAGGUUGGCAAUUACUCGCGCAUUCCAUUCCUGUAUUUGGGGCCUAUUGGAAAUCGGUGCACAUGCAUAUGCACUAGUUUUUCUAAUCAAAUUAUUGCUUUGUGAUGUGGUAGAGUGAAGUCUGCAUGCGACUCUGGCCUAACACAAUGAAGAAAAAAUAUGUGCAGAAACCAUCGACAAGGAUUGGCAGUGUAAGCACAUAGCCAAAUGCUUAAAUAAAACUAUUCACUUUAUUAAAGAAAUGAUGCGUUUGAAGGCACAUAUUUACUACAGUGAAAAUACUUAGGUAGCAUUUAUUGUUUUAUUGCAUAAUUCUGUAUAGAACAAAGCAGUUAAUGAGCCCAUCUGUAGAGGUCGUAUAGGUGGCUAUAGGGAAACAGCGAUGGCCAGUAGACACUAUGGCAAUUUGAGUGUGUGACUAAAGUAUGCAGACACCUUCUGACAGGGAGGUUAUGAACAUGGCACAACAUUAUUGAAUGACAACAGAUGGGCACCUUUAUCAAUGUUUGCUUUAGCCCAAUGCAUCCAACAAAACUUCUGAAAUUGUGCCAGUACUUUCUGGUGUACCUUAGGGUUCCUUUUUGGCCCCUAUCCUGUUCCUUUUAUUCAUAAACGACAUAACUAGUCAGGUUGAUUCCAAGAUUAUGUUAUUUGCAGACAACUGGGUCCUGUAUAGAGAAGUAGUAAACUGACAAGAUCAAAUUAGUCUUAACAAGGAUUUUGCUUUGAUAGCCCAAUGGUGUGAAAACUGGCAAAUGGCUGUCGACUUUGAUUAAAUAGUUUCAAUGCCAGUAACAAAAAAGAAAUCCAAACUUAUUUUUACAUAUGGCUGUAGUAGUACCAUCCUUAACACUGUCACUCAGUAUAAGUACUUGUGCGUCGUCAUAUCAUCAGACUUAGGAUGGUCAGCUCAUGUAGAGCUCGUGGCAAACAAAGCGAUUCGAAAGCUAAUAUUCUUAAAGCAGGCUCUGCGAUACUCUAUGAAGGAAGCCAAGCUCUAGGCCUAUGUGACAAUCAUGCAUCCUAUCUUAGAAUAUGCGAACGUGGCGUGGUUUCCCUUUGCCCAAAAUAAUAUAGCUACUCUUGAGGCUGUCCAGCGCAAAGCUGUGCGCUUUAUCUAUAACAAAUAUAAGCGCACCAACUCGCCUACUCGGAUGCUGUUCGAGAUCGGCUGGCCUUCAUAUACUAAGCAGUCCUGCAAUGCUGUACCGACUCAAAUUUUUUUAUCUCAUACUGCAUCAAGUGGAUUCCGACACCUACAUAUCCUAUAACGCAUCCAGAGAAACCCAUCGUAAGCAUCACCUUACACUCCAAGAAUAUUCUUGCGCUAACAAUACAUUUAGUUUUUCGUUCUUCCCACGAGCUGUUCGUGACUGGAAUGCUUUAGCCCAGACGAUAGUCGCACAGCCCACUGUUGACAAAUUUGUUGAACCUGCUAGCCAAACUGUGCUGUCAGUAACGAGUAAGUGAUGUUAUCACUAUUGUGUAUAUCAUUGUUUUACUUACCAGGUAUAUUGGAAUUCUGUGAUGUGAAAUUGUAGAUAUCAAUGGUAUAUCUCAUAUGCCUGUCCUUUCCUAUUUAUUUUUUUGCGGAACAUCAUAUGUAAUUGAAAUAAUUGAAAAUUGUGCAUUAUCUUUUUGCCAUACUCAUUGCUGUUAACAUAGGUCCAUUGUCCUUAACAUUUUCUAGGUACCUUUUUGUAUACUUAUGUAAAUGCCUGUCCCACAAUGUCUACAGAGCCUUCUAACCCACUCCUGUAAAAAUCUCUGAUGGGACUGACAGUAUCACAAAAUAAAAUAAAUAAAUAAAAAGAGCUCUGGUCAUGGCCACGGAUGUCUUGCAAAGAGCACAUGCGCUCUUACAUUCAAGCACAUCAGUGCCCACUCAGGUCAGGAGCUACACACAUGUGCAUCAAAAUGAGCUGCGAUUUUUUUGUAGAUGGAGAGUCGUAGCCUAUGCUACUGAAAAGUUUCCACCAGUCACUAGGCUGUGUGUUAUGGCACUCCCGUUGGCAUCAUAGGUGCGGACUGCGAGGAGGGGUGAUGCCCCCUCCCCUUUAAAGUGUCAGUACCAGAUCAUUCUGUUACCCACAUCAUUUGAGGUCUCUUUUGAGUUGCCUCCAUCUUUUCACUUAUCUAUUGCGGCUAAAAGCUUACUGCAUCAUUGUUGCAGCGGACUCUGUUAAUGUUUUCGCUUUAUUUCUGCAAAUCCUGACAAUUGGAGGACAAGCACAUUAAAGCACCAGUGGCGGCUACCUCAUCUGUAUUUUUUCACUUCAACAUUUUUUUUUUCUAAUUUCCACUGCGAACACCAAGCACAGACACAUGUAAAUAUACAGGGUGUCCCAACUACCAUGCACUAAGAUAUAAAAUUAUGCAAAUGCCACAUAGCUUCAUUACAUAAUUAGUCUUAAUUAAUUCAUAAACUUUUCUAAUCUUAUAAUUAGAUGAAAAUUUUCAAGGAAAACAUUGUAGAGGAAUAUGAAAAAAAUCACCACCCAAGCACUCCAUACGGGUAGUUAACCAGCGAAGCCUGGUGCUUAUCACUCGGUUAAUCCUGACAGUUCAUUAAAUGACGGCUUGGUAGGCUGCCAGAUCUUCGGUACGCAGUUGCUGCUUUCACUCGGCUGCACGAGCCUGUUCCUGUGCCCAUGCUGCAGCAUUGGCACGAUGUAGACAAGCUCGUUCCCAGUUCUGCUCAUUUCUCUGCAAGUUGGAUGGUCUCAUAUUUGUUUGCACAGCACCUUUGUUGCACACAGCAGGGCACUGCAGACUCAUCAGUCUGCAACUGUGGCCUCUCACCCUCAGAAGCAAUCACAUCAAUGGCAUGAAUAAAUAAUUCAAACUGUGCCCAGCACUUCCCUUCACCAGCAUGAAAUCAGCAAUGAACAGACUUUGUACCUUAUGCACAAGAAGCAAUAAUUAACUGUUGCAAUUCCACUUCUAAAAAUCAUGUCUUUCAGUGCCACUAUUUUACGUUGUUGUAGAAGUCGAACCUCGAUACUAUACUGAAGAUGAGUAUAAUGAACAAGUGAAGAAAAUGGUUGAUAUCACAUGUAAUAAAUAUUGGAUAUGACAAAAAUAAUUUUGUGCUAGACGCAACUUCAUUAUAAUGAAGUUUGGUUUUACUGCUGAGGCACAAUUUUUCUGGGGCUGUAAAAAGAAACAUUCACACUGCAAACGUUUCGCAAUCUUAUGUUAGUGUACACACUACAUUGAAGAUAAACAGAACCACUUCAAUGUUAUCUUCUCUUAAUUGUUUUUGCACUGGGGCUGCUCUCUGUCCAACUUUGUGGUUAGGUUUUGACUCCUGAGAUUCCACCAGUACUUUCGUAAUGAGGACAAAAAACUAAGAUGUCAGCUGAAUUUCACUCUCUCAAUCUAAAAGUGUUCUGUUGCGUGCAUAACUGUGUCAAGUAAAUAAUGCAGAUGAUGAAAGCUGCGGCACUCCAUGAGCGGGCAGUGUGUAUAACCAUGCUUUCUUCCAGCUGACUAUCAUAUAUGCUGCACUUCCUCACAAACCUGGAGCGCAUUUUUUGGUGGGUUUUGUGUGUCGUGGUAAUGACAUACAACAUACAGCAAUUUUGCGCUAGAGUGCAAUAGUAUUCACAUUUUUAUUAUCUUUUACGCUAUUUUUUGCCUGCUUCUUUUGUACGACUGCUGUUAUAACCAUAUCAGGCCACAUGUCUACACAAAUACAUAACCUCACUACAAGUCUGUGCUGUUGUCGACAUGCUUGUGUCUAUCUUUCUGUGUCAUUUCAUGCUCUGUGUUACUGCAAGCACAAAGCUAGUGGGAAGGAUCAGUGAUGCAAGUUAAACUUCCAGUCAACAAUUAAAUUUGCAACCAUUAAUGGUGACCCUCAAUUGCAUUUGCACUGCAGUUUUUCUAUACAUUGUUGAUUCGAUUUGAUUUGAUUGAAGAGGUUUAACAUUCCAGAGCAACACAAGGGCUAUACUAGACAUCCAGCUGGUGGAAGACUCUGAAUUAAUCUUGACCACCUGUGGCUGUUCAACACACACCUGAAGCUUGAGAAAUUAGUUUUCCUGUGUUACAUCUGCAUUGGAAUAUGGUCGCUGGUGCCGGAUAUCGGUUUUAGCUGCAAUCUCAUGCUCAGCAGAAUGCCAUAGCCACUGCCAUAGCCAAAGCCAGUGUGGUAGGUCGAGUCUUUCCCAGUUAAAGCAGUUUAACGCCCUUCAUUCAUUCUUUCAUUGCGAAUUCACAUUACUUCUGUUUCAGGCCAGCUCCACCCACUUUUAACCGAAUGGGCGAUUGAGUCAGGGUUAUGGAGUAGUGAAACUGCAGUCGCCCAGCUACCUCUUUGGUGUUAUUAAUAAGGAUCAAAAGGGACAUGCCAUUGAUCCACACGCAUACCUUUUCUGACAAUAUCUAAUUGACAAUGGCUGCUUUUACAUCUUGCAUAUGCAGACAAUUUAAGCAGGGUUUUAAAUAUCACCUCCACUAUGAGAUAUAAUCAUCAUCAUCAUUCUAUUUAUAUGUUCACUGCGGGACGAAGGCCCCUCCCUCCCAGCCAUCUCCAAUUACCCUGGUCUUGCGCUAGCCGAUUCCAACUUACGCCUAGCUUCUGCCACCCUCGACUGCGCCUCCCUUCCCUUGGCACCCAUUCUGUAACUCUAAUAGUCCACCGGUUAUCUACUCUAUGCAUUACAUGGCCUGCCCAGCUCGCCUCCAACAUUACACAGAGGACGGUGACCUCUUCCCGCACACCAUGCUUUGCUUCAGGCCGGGACUUUCUGCGCAAGAUGCGUUCCUAAUCCUAAGGGAAGAAGUUCUCAAGGGCAUCCCGAAGGGAGGAGAACACCUCCUGCUCGCACUCGACCUAAAAGGGGCCUUCGAUAACAUCUCUCACAAGGCCAUUCUCAAGGCACUGAACGACAUCAGCUGCGGGGAGCGCAUCUUUAAUUACGUUAAAUCGUUCCCGACAGGCCGGACAGCAACCAUUGGAAUAGGCCAGACUCAAUCGGAUACAAUCGACGUGCCGAACAAAGGAGCACCGCAAGGGGCGAUAAUCUCCCCGAUUCUCUUCAACGUCGCGAUGCUGGCGCUGACCAAAGAGCUGCGCAAGAUCCCCGACCUAGGUUAUGCCCUGUACGCAGACGACAUCACGCUCUGGGCCACCAAGGGCUCCCUAGCACGAAAAGAGGCGACCCUUCAAGAGGCCGCGACAGCCGUGGAGAGAUUUGCGGCAGCGAGAGGGAUGCGUUGUGCGCCCGAAAAGUCCGAGGUGAUCCGGGUGCAUGGAGGAGGAAUCUACAAGUCCCCCGGCCCUAUCGAUCUCUAUCUUGAGGGCCAGAAGAUCACGGAAGGCAAUACGGCUAGGAUUCUGGGUUUUUGGAUCCAGAGCAACCUGAAAGCCUCCCACACCAUCCAAACCCUAAGGUGUGCCACUGGUUGCCAACCAGAUCUCACGGAUUGUAAAACGAAUUACAAGAAGCCGCAAGGGCAUGCGAGAAGAGGACACGCUUCGCCUCGUCCAGGCUCUGGUGAUCAGCAGAAUAACGUAUAGCAUGCCGUAUCACUAUCACUCGCUAAACAAACGCGACCAAGAACAAGUCGAUGCCAUCAUCAUAGGCGCGUACAAAACAGCCCUGGGUCUCCCUGUCACCACCUCAAACGAGAAGUUAGCGGCCCUCAGGAUCCACAACACCUUCGCUGAGCUGUUGGACGCGGUUAUGGCUUCGCAAAAGACCAGACUACAGAACACGGCGGGGGCAGAGCCAUCCUCCACCAGACCGGAACGGCAACGGAGCUCCGUGCCCGCGAUGGGCAACGAUCACUCCCGCCUGUGGUCAGAGGCAAGAUCAAGGCGAACCCGAUACCGAAGCACAUGAGUCAUGAACUCCAUGAAGGACGACGCAAGGUUCGCGUCGACAGACAGCGCCGACAAUUCAAGGGUGACUCGUACGUAACGUACGUGGACGUGGCGGCGUACCCUGUAGGGGACCUUUUCGCGGUAGCCGCCGUGAACAGGAGAGACAACUCCGUGAACCUCGCGGCCUCCGUAAGGGCAGAGACCCCAGCUGCGGCUGAGACCAUAGCCACGGCGCUGGUGAUAAAGCAAGAAGACAGGGUAGGCAGGGAAGUCCAUGUCGUUACCGACUCGCAACAGGCCUGCCGUAACUUUACCAACGGAUGAACACCGCUGCUGGCGGCUCAGAUUCUAGGCCCGAGGCUGCAAGAAUACCAUCAAAUCACAUGGACGCCGGGCCACGCGGGUCUGGAGGGGAACGAAAGGGCGAACGCCCUAGCUCGAGCGCUAAUCAACCGAGCGGGGCAAGACCAAUCGUCUCAUCAAUCCCCACCCUUUACCUUCAUGCCCCUGCCAUCCAAUUACUGCGACCGACUCGAGAUCCAAUGACUCAACCGCAGGAUUUAUCCUCCGCCUCACAGAAAGCUCAGCACUGAAGAUGCCGUAGCUAUCCGACUUAUUCAGACCAACACAUUUCCAAACCUACACAGAUACAGUAAAAUGUUUCCACAUACAUAUUGCGGCAUCUGCCCCUGGUGCAGCGACACACGCCCUACACUCUUUCACAUCUCGUGGGGAUGCGGGGGCAAACCUCAACACUUAAAGACGCCUAGCACGUCAUUUGGGCGGUGGGAGGUACAGCUGACCGGCGGUACCCUGGCGGGACAAGAAGCUCUCAUCCAGCAAGUACGUCGAGCAGCCAUGGCCAGUGGAGUCCUGCAAUGAGGACACCACCCACGCGACCUCAAGAGCAACCACCUCGAUGGUCCGAAUAAAUUUUUCUCUCUCUCUCUCUCUUAAUGUCAGCUAGAAUAUUGGCUAUCCCUGUUUGCUCUCUCAUCCACACCGCUCUCUUCCUAUCUCUUAAUGUUACGCCUAACAUUUUUCAUUCCAUUGCUCUUUGUGCUGUCCUCAACUUGUUCUUGAGCUUCUUUGUUAAUAUGAAAGGGACCCUGAAACGAUUUUGACCAUGUUCUACAAACGUACUGAGUCGUUAGAGUAGGUCCUUCUGAUCAUUAAUUGACACAUCUAAGUGCUCCACGUAAAGCGUGAAAUUUAUUACAAGGUUUUAAAAAUGCACAUCGCUGCCGAUUGCAGCACACUGCUUGGCGGAAUAUUAAGCCGCCCCUACCCAUAUGACGGAAAUCACCCAUAUGACGUCAGUGGGGCGAGCUAUCCGAUUGGCAGACCAGGCUGCGUAAUCGACAAUUUUUCCAACUUUAUGGUAAACAAAUGAUGUUCGUAAUAGUUGGAAUGUUAGUUAACUUGUUUUUAUAAAAAGAAAGUAACAGAAAGAGAAUGCACAAGAACAAUAUUUCAGUACACUUAAGCACAUCCGGCACAAAGCAAGUGUCGUCUGCUUGUGUUACAACGUGCUCCGUUCUUGACGAGAGCUCCGCCCUCAGUGUCGGUUUGUCAUUUCGCGAGUGCUAUGGUUCGACUUUGUUGCGUUGUGGACUGCAAACAUAGCGACUGGCAAUAUGUCCAGCUGCGACAUCGUGUCUCUCUGCAAGCCAGUAGACGAGCGGACUGGCUGCAGCGCAUCGGACUGCCGCUAUCUGAUCAGCGCCAGGAUUUGCGCGAUUGCGGUCGUCACUAUACAUGGGAAGAUUACUAACGCAAUAGCGUUUCACGAGUCCGGUAUUAGGGCAAGCGCAAGGGGACAGAGCCUGGCCGCUUGACUGUGCCGUUUAACGGGUGAGCAGAAGCGCAAAUGUGAACGGUAUGCACGGUGCUGCCACCUGGUGGCAUAGAGCUCAACCACACACAGCAGCAGUAACAAAACGUAUUCGUCUUUGCUGGUGGUGUAAAUUUUUCGCAGGAGUGUAAUCAUCAACCACAUUGUUUUUGUAGAUGUUUAAAAUGUUUUCCACUUGGUUAGAGCAACAUUAGCUCUUUGUUUGGCUGGUUAAGCUCUGCGUCAACAAGUGGCUGGACUGUGCAGACCGAUCAGGCCGCUCACAUACGUCUACGCUAAAGUUCCUUCAUCAGCUUGAGUUUAUGCCUACAGCCAUCUGCCGAAACACUCAGCUUGCCUGUGGUUACUGGAAUACCAGACACUCUCCAGGAAUACCAGAAUACUCUACCAGGCUCUCGCUUGGGGUCGACGGCCAAGCGGCCAGCGGAGAGGUUUCGCGCGGGCGGGGGUGGGCUCCAAAACAACCGGAAGUGGACGAUGUGACGUAGCAUCGUGACGCAGAACCAAUGAAGCCGGAGCUUAGUGCCGAACGCUCGGCGAACGAGUUGAGGAGGAAAAGCAUGGCUAGGGAGGAGGGUAACUUGUAAUAGCUUGUAGCUCCAUUAAUACGUAACGCUUCACUUAAAUUGUGGUGCGAAUGUUCUACUUAAGCUGUACCCUACGCGUCUACAAAAUUUGUCCGAACCGUUUCAGGGGCCCUCGAAAGUUUCUGCCCCAUAUGUUAUCACUGGUAGAAAGCAAUGAUUGUACUCUUUUCUUUUCAACAACAAUGGUAAACUCUGUUACGAUCGGCCAGCGGGGAAAGCAACCUCCCAGCCUCUCUCGCCUUACUGUGACGAAUUGCUUCGCGAGGCUCACAUGUAGCCUCGCACAGAACAGUAGCAACACCAAGGCGUCUCACCUUUGACGGCUACGGGGUUGAUGGAUAGCACUUGGUUGCCAACUGACGCUGAGACCAAGGAACUCCUGUGAAAGUGCGUUAUAUGCCACUUCGUUACGGUUGCUACUGGCCCAUACCAGGAGCCAAGACGCACAAAUGGAAUCAAGCGUGACACCCCCGUUUUCAAGCAUCCCCUUCUCUGGGCUAGUGUGCUCUAAUGUUUGCUCCCCAGAAAGAUGUAGUCUGUUCAGACCUGUAGCUAGUCUAGUAUGAGGACCCCCUUGUUCUAUGUAAAUAAGUCUGCCUUUUCACUGCCUUUUCAUUUGUAAAUAAACUUCCUGUUCCAUUUCGCA
Dermacentor andersoni is the source of this 13769-nucleotide long non-coding RNA. RefSeq lists it as uncharacterized. NCBI's taxonomy places the organism in Eukaryota, Metazoa, Arthropoda, Arachnida, Ixodida, Ixodidae. The record is from RefSeq and is a predicted model, not a curated record.